GACGAACGCUGGCGGCGUGCUUAACACAUGCAAGUCGAACGGAAAGGCCCUGCUUUUGUGGGGUGCUCGAGUGGCGAACGGGUGAGUAACACGUGAGUAACCUGCCCUUGACUUUGGGAUAACUUCAGGAAACUGGGGCUAAUACCGGAUAGGAGCUCCUGCUGCAUGGUGGGGGUUGGAAAGUUUCGGCGGUUGGGGAUGGACUCGCGGCUUAUCAGCUUGUUGGUGGGGUAGUGGCUUACCAAGGCUUUGACGGGUAGCCGGCCUGAGAGGGUGACCGGCCACAUUGGGACUGAGAUACGGCCCAGACUCCUACGGGAGGCAGUAGUGGGGAAUAUUGCACAAUGGGCGGAAGCCUGAUGCAGCAACGCCGCGUGCGGGAUGACGGCCUUCGGGUUGUAAACCGCUUUCGCCUGUGACGAAGCGUGAGUGACGGUAAUGGGUAAAGAAGCACCGGCUAACUACGU
Molecule: ribosomal RNA, 467 nt
Filed under: uncultured bacterium
Lineage: Bacteria
Description: partial 16S ribosomal RNA
Rfam family: Bacterial small subunit ribosomal RNA
Source: RNAcentral